Drosophila yakuba is the source of this 988-nucleotide long non-coding RNA. RefSeq lists it as uncharacterized. The record is from RefSeq and is a predicted model, not a curated record. NCBI's taxonomy places the organism in Eukaryota, Metazoa, Arthropoda, Insecta, Diptera, Drosophilidae. The transcript is spliced from 2 exons.
AUAAUACGAAUUCCACACACCACAGAGGAAGCUCACUCACACACUACGUUAGGUUGUAGAGAUCCAGACUUAUCACACACAGGGGCAGCCAUAUCAGCGAAUUAAACGCCGACCGUUGAACCAAGCUCGACUGAGAGAGUUGAAUUCUGAAUUUGUGUGCUUUUUUUUCAGCCCAGUCGGCAAUUGGCCGCUGCUCUCGCAGCCUUUUUUUCGGCAUAGAAAAACAGACGAACGCAUAAAAAAAAAUUUGUCUACGGUUAAGGUGUUCACAGACCUCUAGUUCCGGACUGAAGUGUGGAAAGUUUGGAGCCACAUCGAUACAGAUCGAUGUGAAUCACCAUCAAAGAGGAAGUUAAUUAGCAUGCAGCUGACUUAUUCCGAUGGCCUAGCGAUACAGUACAGAUGUAUAUGGACUACGCUCGUAUACCAUCAAUCCCAGCGAUAUAUGUAUAUACCAGAACGCCAAUUGAAAUUAGCUGGAAACCACAUAUGCCAUAUGAUCUCCUUUAUCCGCACUUCUCCACCCUCUGCGAUAUUUGCCAUUACUAUUUACUUUGUUGCUGAUUGUCGCCAACCUGUUGAGCAUGUGAGCAAAUAGCGGAGAAAAUACCUAAGCAAAUAGGAGCUUCGAUGGGCUUCCUGUAAUUGCGUUAAAUAUUUGCAUACAAGCGCCGGCAAUCGAACGCAGUGGGCUGGCUGGCUGGCACGAUUUCAAUUUGCAUUUUGUGCAUCGAUCUGGCGAUUCCGACUUCGAUGUCGAUCAAUCAAUCAACCAACCGAUGAUGACCUUCACACUGGCCAUGGUGGGCAAUCGCCGAGUACUGGCGCCAGGAGUGGGCGUGGCCUAUCACCUGAUAGUGAUCCAAAUUCGCACUUUAAGGGGCGUAACCGGGAAUGGUGCUAUCGCCCCCAAUCUGACCCACAAACACUGCGGGUUGCUGUACAGUUUACUUUUAUUAUCAAAUAUAUGGACAUUUGUUUAAAACUA